CCUACUCAUAUCCCUAUUGGCCAAAAGGCCACAGAACAUUCAGAAAGAUCUGGGGAAAGGGAAUAAUAACAUAUCUCAAAGUUACCCCCUCAGGGAAGACCAUGUGGCAACCCAAGAAGACCCAAGAGAAGAUCCACCCUGAUCUGAGAGACUCAUCUUCAUGGAAGAGAGCCAGUCAACACUAGAGAAGGAGAUUCCAACAGCCCAACUCAAAAAUGUGGAUCGUUGUGGGCAAUAUCCUCAAACAGAUAGAGCUGGAAAGAGAGACAAUAUUGUGGGAAUUUGGCUCUACUUGAGAAUCAUCAUUGGGAUCCAACCAUGAGAGAUAUUCAAAUCUGACUCCUCCAGCAAGCAAGCUGUUGCAUUUAUGCAAAGAAAUGGGGAUUGAGGAGGUCGCAAACCAGGUAAAGAAU
Molecule: long non-coding RNA, 413 nt
Organism: Stegostoma tigrinum
Lineage: Eukaryota; Metazoa; Chordata; Chondrichthyes; Orectolobiformes; Stegostomatidae
Exons: 3
Source: RefSeq, a predicted model, not a curated record